AUGGACGAUCAGAGUUAUUUUGAACUUUUGCAAAGUGAUGUCGGAUUGAAUGAUUUGCACUGGACCGAAGAAGAACAAAUGGAUCUCGAAAAGGAUGAAGAAGAACAAACUGAUCUCGAAGGGCCUGCAGAACCUACCCCUCCUAUGACAGCAAGGUCUUUGAAAGCAAAGGGGAAGAAAUCAAGCGCCUCGAAACCAAGCGCUUCGAAGAGGCAAAAGAAUUUCAGCAAGGCUGAAGAUUUAACUUUGGUGGAUGCAUACCUUGAGAUAACUCAAGAUCCAAUCAUAGGAGUUGACCAAUCUCGUGAUUGUUAUUGGAAAAGAAUCGAUGCUUAUUUCCAUGCCAAUAAAUCUGAAGACCAUGGUCGCACACAAGGUUCUCUUCAGCAUCGUUGGGCUAUUAUUCAAGAACAAGUGAAUAGAUUUUGUGCAUGUUAUAGUCAGGUCCUGAAUAGGAACCAAAGUGGGAUGACACGUGAAAAUAAGCUAUGUCAAGCGAUUGUUCUCUAUGCCAAUGGAGACAAGGCAAAUAAAUCAUUUGGAUUGAUGCAUUGCUUUAAUAAGUUGGAAGACACCGAGAAGUGGAAAUCUCGGCCCCAGGAAAAACAGAAGACAUCCUCGUUGGAUACUCCUAAUUCAUCAUCUGCUAGUUUGUUUGAGGAUGAAGCUACAUCUCCCUCUAAAUUUGUCCCCAAGAAAAGGCCACCUGGAAUCAAGAGGGCUAAAGAUGCAGCAUGGCGGGCUCAAAGUUCUUCUAGUACAGUUAAUAGUAGUGCCAUGGAAUCAUUUGGGGGUAUCUUGGAGACAAGGGAGUCAAAAAGACAAGAGCGAUUUGAGCUCAUGAUUGCAAUGGACAAACAGAGAGAAGAAGAUAUGUUGGUAGAAGAAAGAAAGAAACUUGCAAUACAAGAAAAAAAGAUGGAAUUAGAAGAAAAAAAGAUAUGA
Molecule: ribosomal RNA, 945 nt
Filed under: Triticum aestivum (bread wheat)
Lineage: Eukaryota; Viridiplantae; Streptophyta; Magnoliopsida; Poales; Poaceae
Description: partial small subunit ribosomal RNA
Source: RNAcentral